AUUGAACGCUGGCGGCAGGCCUAACACAUGCAAGUCGAGCGGAUGAAGGGAGCUUGCUCCUGGAUUCAGCGGCGGACGGGUGAGUAAUGCCUAGGAAUCUGCCUGGUAGUGGGGGAUAACGUCCGGAAACGGGCGCUAAUACCGCAUACGUCCUGAGGGAGAAAGGGGGGGAUCUUCGGACCUCACGCUAUCAGAUGAGCCUAGGUCGGAUUAGCUAGUUGGUGGGGUAAAGGCCUACCAAGGCGACGAUCCGUAACUGGUCUGAGAGGAUGAUCAGUCACACUGGAACUGAGACACGGUCCAGACUCCUACGGGAGGCAGCAGUGGGGAAUAUUGGACAGUGGGCGAAAGCCUGAUCCAGCCAUGCCGCGUGUGUGAAGAAGGUCUUCGGAUUGUAAAGCACUUUAAGUUGGGAGGAAGGGCAGUAAGUUAAUACCUUGCUGUUUUGACGUUACCAACAGAAUAAGCACCGGCUAACUUCGUG
This 484-nucleotide ribosomal RNA is filed under the name uncultured bacterium. RNAcentral's name for it is "partial 16S ribosomal RNA". It matches the Rfam family "Bacterial small subunit ribosomal RNA", at positions 30 to 507 of the family's 1533-position model. The record is from RNAcentral.